GUCGGUGUCGUAUAAUGGUUAUUACAAGGCCUUGCCAAGGCUUAGACGGCAGUUCGAUCCUGCUCACCGGCUCCA
Molecule: transfer RNA, 75 nt
Filed under: Acholeplasma laidlawii
Lineage: Bacteria; Bacillati; Mycoplasmatota; Mollicutes; Acholeplasmatales; Acholeplasmataceae
Also listed under: 4 other names
Description: tRNA-Gly(gcc)
Rfam family: tRNA
About the family: Transfer RNA (tRNA) molecules are approximately 80 nucleotides in length.
Source: RNAcentral